CGGAGACGCCCGGCAUUUACCCCACAUUUCUGUGAGGGGCUCGUUAUCUAGAGUGUCUCCUUCAGUGUUUCCCUGUCCUCUGGUAUGGAAAUCACAUUGAUUUUGUCGGUGUUUACAAGGGGAUCAUACAACCCAGAAACUAUUGAUUUCAGCAGCUCGGGGGAUGUACGUGGCCAUAUGUGCACAUGGAGAAGUCAGAGGAGGCCAUCAAGAUUGUUGCUCCUUCACCCUGUGCCACGUUACCUCAAGACCAAGUCUCUCACCAAAACUGGAGCUAAGCUGGUGGCCAGCAAGCUCCAGUAAUCCUCCUGUCUCUACUCACCAGCAGUGUUGGAGUACAGAAACUCGCCCAGCAUGAAGUCAUCAGAAAUAAGAUGGACCUUGCCAUGGCUGACGAGACCAGGAACCUGCAUCUUACUCACGGAGUAUGGAGGGUCACGCUGGCAGCUACCCAAUGGGGACAGUGUUACAGGCUGCACAGAGAACUUCUACCACACAGAUGGGCUGCUAGAUGAUAGCUCACAAAGCAUUGCUACAUUUUAUAAGAAAUGGAAGAUCAGCCAGAUCCAGGGAGAUAUUCAGGGAAAACACAAUGACAAAACAUUGCUAUCAAAGGCAGGAAAUACUGUGAGAGUCCUUGAGGAGAUGAAUUUCUGAAGGUGGUAGCUUUGGUGGCUCCCGUGGCUUCUGAAUGCGCUUUUCCAUUAGCUGUUGGCAAGUUGUCAGCAAGGACUUUGAACUCAAGAUUCAAGGUUUUGAAAGGUCUAACAUGAAGAGUCUACUGACAUUAUAGAACCUUUCUAUUCAGGAAAUUGGAUUUCUAUUGUAUAGCUUACUGCCUUCAAGUAUAAUCAACAUGAUAGAGAUGACAGAUAUAGAGAAACUGCUGAAGAAUAAGGAAAAAUAAUCUGAAGUCAAAAUGGUGGAAUUUAUUCAUCUUAGAUGGUUAUAAGCUCCACAUACAGUUUUCCUAGGCCUAAAAUCCAUUACUGCUACGAAUUUUGUGAAGUGAGAACAUUUCCUGCCAUUAGAUAUGAUUGGCUACUGCGGAACCAGAAAACACAGAAACAUUUCCAUGGGUCGUCUCUGCUUAGAGUCAAACAUACCAAACACAAUGAAAACCAAACACGAAGUCUAAAAAUACUUUUGACAUAUGCCAUAAAGGUUAAUAUCUUUAAUAUAUAAGUAGCUGUCAUAAUCCAGUAAAAGAAUCCCAUUAGAAUGGUCUAAUAAUGUGAGCAGAUAAUACAGGUAUUAACAUAGACAAAUGAGCAGCUAAUAUUCUAUAAUGUUCAAACUCAUUGAUAAUCAAAAUAAGUUUGGGGUAGCAUAUUAGCAAAAAUAGUCACUGAAAUAUUAUCACUUGGAUCAGAAGCAUGUUUGGGAAA
Molecule: long non-coding RNA, 1388 nt
Organism: Onychomys torridus (southern grasshopper mouse)
Lineage: Eukaryota; Metazoa; Chordata; Mammalia; Rodentia; Cricetidae
Exons: 6
Source: RefSeq, a predicted model, not a curated record